Molecule: non-coding RNA, 895 nt
Filed under: Limnonectes fragilis (fragile wart frog)
Lineage: Eukaryota; Metazoa; Chordata; Amphibia; Anura; Dicroglossidae
Description: partial 12S rRNA
Rfam family: Bacterial small subunit ribosomal RNA
Source: RNAcentral
UCCUAAACUUACACAUGCAAGUCUCAGCACACCUGUGAGGACGCCCUUUCCCCUUCACCAGACCGAGGAGCUGGCAUCAGGCACCCAAACUAGCCCAUUACGCCUAGUCCUACCACACCCUCAAGGGUUUACAGCAGUGAUAAACAUUGUUUAUAAGCGACAGCUUGACCCAGUUAUAGGAAAAAGAGCUGGCCAACUCGGUGCCAGCCGCCGCGGCUAAACCGCACGAGCUCAAGUUGAUAGUCGUCGGCGUUAAGCGUGAUUAAAGAUUUUUCCUAAUUAGAAUUUAACCUGUACUUAGCUGUAAUAAGCUUGCCUCCGGGAAAACCAAAAACGAAAGUUAUUCUAAUCUUCUUGAAUACACGACAGCCGGGAAACAAACUGGGAUUAGAUACCCCACUAUGCCCAACCGUAAAAUAUUAACCUACACCCACUAACGCCAGGGUAUUACGAGCCCUAGCUUAAAACCCAAAGGACUUGACGGUGUCCCAUCCAACUAGAGGAGCCUGUUCUAUAAUCGAUAACCCCCGAUACACCUAACCCCCCCUUGCCAAUCAGCCUGUAUACCUCCGUCGCAAGCUUACCAUAUGAAUGCCAACAGUAAGUUUAAAGGUCACAACACCCACACGUCAGGUCAAGGUGCAGCUAAUGGAGGGGCAAGCAAUGGGCUACAAUUUCUAAUCUAGAACACACGAAAUGCUUCAUGAAACAACCACGAAGGUGGAUUUAGCAGUAAAAAGAAAAUAAAACGUCCUUUUUAACAGAGCCCUGGGACGUGUACACACCGCCCGUCACCCUCUUCAAUAGUAAACUCUAUGUUACUAACAACCUUUAACGCUUUAGAAGAGGCAAGUCGUAACAUGGUAAGUGUACCGGAAGGUGCACUUGGAUCAAC